Molecule: ribosomal RNA, 1244 nt
Filed under: metagenome
Description: bacterial LSU rRNA
Rfam family: Bacterial large subunit ribosomal RNA
Source: RNAcentral
UGAAUACGAGAUGCUACGGCGUCGAAGCAGUGUAUGUCAGACUUCCAAGAAAAGCUCGCAAUGUCAUAAAUAAAGAAUGCCUGUACCAUAACCGACACAGGUGGGUAGGUAGAGUAUACUAAGGGGCGCGAGAUAACUCUCUCUAGGGAACUCGGCAAAAUAACUCCGUAACUUCGGGAAAGGAGUGCCUUCUAUUAGAAGGUUGCAAUAACAAGAUCCAAGCAACUGUUUAUCAAAAACACAGGUCUCCGCUAAGUCGUAAGACUAUGUAUGGGGGCUGACGCCUGCCCAGUGCCAGAAGGUUAAAGAAGUUGGUUAGCUUUGGCGAAGCUGAUGACUGAAGCCCUGGUGAACGGCGGCCGUAACGAUAACGGUCCUAAGGUAGCGAAAUUCCUUGUCGGGUAAGUUCCGACCCGCACGAAAGGCGUAAUGAUUUGGAUACUGUCUCGGAGAGGGACUCGGUGAAAUAGACUUGUCUGUGAAGAUGCGGACUACCUGCACCAGGACAGAAAGACCCUAUGAAGCUUUACUGUAACUUGAAAUUGAAAUUGGACUUUAUUUGCGCAGCAUAGGUGGAAGGCGUUGAGAUUACUCUUGCGGGAGUACUGGAGCCAUCAGUGAGAUACCACUCCUAUAAUGUUAGAUUUCUAACUUUGGAUCAUGAUCUGGUCAAAGAACAGUUUCAGGCGGGCAGUUUGACUGGGGCGGUCGCCUCCCAAAUGGUAACGGAGGCGUACAAAGGUUUCCUCUGAACGGGUAGAAAUCGUAUCUAGAGUGUAAAGGCAUAAGGAAGCUUGACUGUGAGACCUACAAGUCGAGCAGGGACGAAAGUCGGUCUUAGUGAUCUGACGGUGCUGAGUGGAAAGGCCGUCACUCAACGGAUAAAAGUUACUCUAAGGAUAACAGGCUGAUCUCCCCCAAGAGUUCACAUCGACGGGGAGGUUUGGCACCUCGAUGUCGGCUCAUCGCAUCCUGGGGCGGUAGUACGUCCCAAGGGUUGGGCUGUUCGCCCAUGAAAGCGGUACGCGAGCUGGGUUCAGAACGUCGUGAGACAGUUCGGUCCAUAUCCGGUGUAGGCGUUAGAAUAUUGAGAGGAGCCUUCUUUAGUACGAGAGGACCGAGAAGGACAUACCUCUGGUGUACCAGUUAUCGUGCCAACGGUAAACGCUGGGUAGCUAUGUAUGGAGAGGAUAACCGCUGAAAGCAUCUAAGUGGGAAGCCCACCUCAAGAUGAGUAUUCUCAC